GAUGAACGCUAGCGGCAGGCCUAACACAUGCAAGUCGAGGGAGAAGCCCUUUCGGGGGCAGAAACCGGCGCACGGGUGCGUAACGCGUAUGCAACCUACCUUUCACAGGGGGAUAGCCCGAAGAAAUUUGGAUUAAUACCCCAUAAUAUUGUUGGAUGGCAUCAUCUGGCAAUUAAAACUGAGGUGGUGAAAGAUGGGCAUGCGUCCUAUUAGCUAGUUGGAGUGGUAACGGCACCCCAAGGCUACGAUAGGUAGGGGUCCUGAGAGGGAGAUCCCCCACACUGGUACUGAGACAGGGACCAGACUCCUACGGGAGGCAGCAGUGAGGAAUAUUGGUCAAUGGUCGGAAGACUGAACCAGCCAUGCCGCGUGCAGGAAGAAUGCCUUAUGGGUUGUAAACUGCUUUUAUAUGUGAAGAAUGAGGCGUACGUGUACG
Molecule: ribosomal RNA, 436 nt
Filed under: Capnocytophaga sp. oral taxon F95
Lineage: Bacteria; Pseudomonadati; Bacteroidota; Flavobacteriia; Flavobacteriales; Flavobacteriaceae
Description: bacterial SSU rRNA
Rfam family: Bacterial small subunit ribosomal RNA
Source: RNAcentral